This 253-nucleotide ribosomal RNA is filed under the name uncultured bacterium. RNAcentral describes it as "partial 16S ribosomal RNA". It matches the Rfam family "Bacterial small subunit ribosomal RNA", at positions 524 to 776 of the family's 1533-position model. The record is from RNAcentral.
UACGAGGGGGGCGAGCGUUGUUCGGAAUUAUUGGGCGUAAAGGGCGCGUAGGCGGUCGGAUAAGUCUUGUGUGAAAUCUUCGGGCUCAACUCGAAGUCUGCACAGGAAACUAUCUGGCUUGAGUGUGGGAGAGGUGAGUGGAAUUCCUGGUGUAGCGGUGAAAUGCGUAGAUAUCAGGAGGAACACCUGUGGCGAAAGCGGCUCACUGGACCAUAACUGACGCUGAUGCACGAAAGCUAGGGGAGCAAACAGG